Non-coding RNA from Comamonadaceae bacterium SCN 68-20, 68 nucleotides. The record is from Rfam. Lineage: Bacteria; Pseudomonadati; Pseudomonadota; Betaproteobacteria; Burkholderiales; Comamonadaceae.
GACGAAUCUAUUGCCCGCCGAGCCCGCUGCUUACCGGCACCGGGGGAGGGCGGCGAAAAGAGGAAUCG